Molecule: ribosomal RNA, 482 nt
Filed under: uncultured bacterium
Lineage: Bacteria
Description: partial 16S ribosomal RNA
Rfam family: Bacterial small subunit ribosomal RNA
Source: RNAcentral
AUUGAACGCUGGCGGCAUGCCUUACACAUGCAAGUCGAACGGUAACGCGGGGCAACCUGGCGACGAGUGGCGAACGGGUGAGUAAUGCAUCGGAACGUGCCCAGAAGUGGGGGAUAGCCCGGCGAAAGCCGGAUUAAUACCGCAUGAGACCUGAGGGUGAAAGCGGGGGAUCGCAAGACCUCGCGCUUUUGGAGCAGCCGAUGUCAGAUUAGCUAGUUGGUGGGGUAAAGGCCUACCAAGGCGACGAUCUGUAGCUGGUCUGAGAGGACGACCAGCCACACUGGGACUGAGACACGGCCCAGACUCCUACGGGAGGCAGCAGUGGGGAAUUUUGGACAACGGGCGCAAGCCUGAUCCAGCCAUGCCGCGUGCGGGAAGAAGGCCUUCGGGUUGUAAACCGCUUUUGUCAGGGAAGAAACGCUCUGGGCUAAUACCCUGGGGUAAUGACGGUACCUGAAGAAUAAGCACCGGCUAACUACGUG